Molecule: long non-coding RNA, 591 nt
Filed under: Theobroma cacao (cacao)
Lineage: Eukaryota; Viridiplantae; Streptophyta; Magnoliopsida; Malvales; Malvaceae
Description: long non-coding RNA (TCAC_LNC000055)
Source: RNAcentral
UGACCCAGAAGAGCCCAAAAGCAGCAACCCCCCACUUAUUAUCCUUCUAGAAAGUGGACAAACCCACCAAAAGGUACGACGUGCAAGUUGUGCGGUUUAAGUAGCGCCGAGUUUUAGUUUCUUCUUCCCAACGCUUUCUGAAGGUUCUCUUUUCCCCCACUAUCUUCUUUCUUUCUUCCACUAUAUGUGCAAUCAAGUGCUUGUCUUCAAUCUCAAUCUCAUCUACGCACUUCCUAUCAGGUCCAAUUAUCUUUGUCUUUCCAAGAUUUAAAUUGUUUAACUCUUUCGCCUUUCAUCUUUCAAAUUAUUAGACUCAGGUAAAUAUUUUGGUUGUGGAAGAUAUUGAGGUACAAAAUGAGUUGGUGGAGUAUUACAAGGACUUGGAUUCGAUUGACAAACAGGACCAGACGGUUGGUUCUGUCUUUUUGGUUCUCUUUGUUUAAUUCAGUUUUGUUUUACAUUUAAUAGAAUACGGAUGGAUUUAAGACAGUAAUUUUCAUCUGUGUUCUGUACUCAGGUCUUUUCUUAAAUUAUGGUAGUGGUUGUUGUCGUGCUGGAACAGUGAAAUAAUAAGAUAAGGUUGGGUAUGGU